Non-coding RNA from Triticum aestivum (bread wheat), 123 nucleotides. The record is from Rfam. NCBI's taxonomy places the organism in Eukaryota, Viridiplantae, Streptophyta, Magnoliopsida, Poales, Poaceae.
AGUAUACUCCCUCCGUCCGGAAUUACUUGUCGCAUAAAUGGAUGAAAAUGGAUGUACUAGAAUUAAAAUACAUCUAGAUAUAUCAUUUCAACGACAAGUAUUUCCAGACAAAGGGAGUAUUAA